Molecule: non-coding RNA, 180 nt
Filed under: Nitrosospira multiformis
Lineage: Bacteria; Pseudomonadati; Pseudomonadota; Betaproteobacteria; Nitrosomonadales; Nitrosomonadaceae
Also listed under: 2 other names
Description: 6S / SsrS RNA
Rfam family: 6S / SsrS RNA
About the family: E. coli 6S RNA was the first non coding RNA to be sequenced, but its function was unknown until recently.
Source: RNAcentral
UGUUCCCUGCGGUGUUCGUUUAGACCUAUAUUCUUUGAACCAACUUUUUUAAGAAUCGGUUACGAACCAAAGUGACGCUGUUGUGCGCAUCCUAUUGGAAGCGCCUGAUGCGUCCGGCUAGUGACCACCUUGGACCUUAAGGUUCAAGAUAAAUGGUCUGACGGCAUCUGCGGGGACUUU